Molecule: small nucleolar RNA, 128 nt
Filed under: Carlito syrichta (Philippine tarsier)
Lineage: Eukaryota; Metazoa; Chordata; Mammalia; Primates; Tarsiidae
Description: Small nucleolar RNA SNORA4 (ENSTSYG00000024999.2)
Rfam family: Small nucleolar RNA SNORA4
About the family: ACA4 is a member of the H/ACA class of snoRNA that guide the sites of modification of uridines to pseudouridines.
Source: Rfam by way of RNAcentral
CUACCAAAAAAUGAUGUUGAAGAGUGGAAGGUUUACCUUUACCAAUUCAGGCUAUUUUGGAGAAUAGAGAAAAGGUUACAUUUCCCAGUGGGCUAUAUACCACUUAGUAUACUAUAGUAACCUACAUU